This 1404-nucleotide ribosomal RNA is filed under the name Burkholderia sp. Bp8963. RNAcentral's name for it is "partial 23S ribosomal RNA". It matches the Rfam family "Bacterial large subunit ribosomal RNA", at positions 1 to 1445 of the family's 2925-position model. The record is from RNAcentral. Lineage: Bacteria; Pseudomonadati; Pseudomonadota; Betaproteobacteria; Burkholderiales; Burkholderiaceae.
GUUAUAGGGUCAAGCGAACAAGUGCAUGUGGUGGAUGCCUUGGCGAUCACAGGCGAUGAAGGACGCGGUAGCCUGCGAAAAGCUACGGGGAGCUGGCAAACAAGCUUUGAUCCGUAGAUGUCCGAAUGGGGAAACCCACUCCUUUUGGAGUAUCCAUGGCUGAAUACAUAGGCCAUGCGAAGCGAACGCGGUGAACUGAAACAUCUAAGUAACCGCAGGAAAAGAAAUCAACCGAGAUUCCCAAAGUAGUGGCGAGCGAAAUGGGAUCAGCCUUGUACUCUUUAUUUGUAUUGUUAGCCGAACGCUCUGGAAAGUGCGGCCAUAGCAGGUGAUAGCCCUGUAGGCGAAAACAGUAUGAAAGAACUAGGUGUACGACAAGUAGGGCGGGACACGUGAAAUCCUGUCUGAAGAUGGGGGGACCAUCCUCCAAGGCUAAAUACUCGUGAUCGACCGAUAGUGAACCAGUACCGUGAGGGAAAGGCGAAAAGAACCCCGGGAGGGGAGUGAAAUAGAUCCUGAAACCGCAUGCAUACAAACAGUCGGAGCCUCGCAAGGGGUGACGGCGUACCUUUUGUAUAAUGGGUCAGCGACUUACGUUCAGUAGCAAGCUUAACCGUAUAGGGCAGGCGUAGCGAAAGCGAGUCCGAAUAGGGCGUUCAGUUGCUGGGCGUAGACCCGAAACCAGGUGAUCUAUCCAUGGCCAGGAUGAAGGUGCGGUAACACGUACUGGAGGUCCGAACCCACUAACGUUGAAAAGUUAGGGGAUGAGCUGUGGAUAGGGGUGAAAGGCUAAACAAACCUGGAAAUAGCUGGUUCUCUCCGAAAACUAUUUAGGUAGUGCCUCGUGUCUCACCUUCGGGGGUAGAGCACUGUCAUGGUUGGGGGGUCUAUUGCAGAUUACCCCGCCAUAGCAAACUCCGAAUACCGAAGAGUGCAAUCACGGGAGACAGACAUCGGGUGCUAACGUCCGGUGUCAAGAGGGAAACAACCCAGACCGCCAGCUAAGGUCCCCAAAUAUAGCUAAGUGGGAAACGAAGUGGGAAGGCUAAAACAGUCAGGAGGUUGGCUUAGAAGCAGCCACCCUUUAAAGAAAGCGUAAUAGCUCACUGAUCGAGUCGUCCUGCGCGGAAGAUGUAACGGGGCUAAGCUAUAUACCGAAGCUGCGGAUGCGUGUUUACACGCAUGGUAGGAGAGCGUUCCGUAAGCCUGCGAAGGUGCGUUGAAAAGCGUGCUGGAGGUAUCGGAAGUGCGAAUGCUGACAUGAGUAGCGAUAAAGGGGGUGAAAGGCCCCCUCGCCGUAAGCCCAAGGUUUCCUACGCAACGUUCAUCGGCGUAGGGUGAGUCGGCCCCUAAGGCGAGGCAGAAAUGCGUAGCUGAUGGGAAGCAGGUCAAUAUUCCUGCACC